UUCUGCCAAGCAUUAUUCGAAAGUGCUUUCCAAACAGGCUAGCCUGGUGCUGGUUGGUGAUUGGCGCUAUUUUGGUGUGGAGGUUAUGGAAUUGAAGAGUGAGCCAUUUUCGUGUAAAAUGAUGAUGUGCCGCCUUGUACCAGUCCCAACGCAGGCGUGCUAGGCUCAAGAACCGAUGCUCCCACAUAGCAGUCCCAAUGCAGAAUGCCUUCAACGUGUGAAUUCGUUCGCGUUUCUUCAGACUGAUGACAAGAUC
This 256-nucleotide long non-coding RNA is filed under the name Setaria italica (foxtail millet). Its description in RNAcentral is "long non-coding RNA (SITA_LNC003522)". The record is from RNAcentral. Lineage: Eukaryota; Viridiplantae; Streptophyta; Magnoliopsida; Poales; Poaceae.